GUGGAGCAUGUGGAAUUUUUUAGGGGAUGGUUACGAUUCUGGUUAGGGGGAACCCAAGUGGAGUAAGAGAGUUCUCUUCAUAAGGUGAGCUUAUAUAGAGAAUGGGCAUUGGUGGGUUGGACCUCGUCCAUGCGAUCACGAUCCAACAACAACGAACGGAGGGAGGGGCUAGGUUAGUCUAGUGGGCUGUGUAGAUGGGCUAUGUGGGGAUGAGAGGGAAGUGGUGUGGCACGUGAUAAAGUUUUAAAACGAGAACACGUCCUGGAAUUAAACCAACUACAGUGCCGCUAUAUAUUCAACGGUUCGGGUAUCAACCGAACUCCAAUUGCGACAAAAUUUGGCACGCAGCCUACCUACAAUAUAAUAAGAC
RNAcentral lists this long non-coding RNA (370 nucleotides) under Hordeum vulgare. RNAcentral describes it as "long non-coding RNA (HVUL_LNC019709)". Lineage: Eukaryota; Viridiplantae; Streptophyta; Magnoliopsida; Poales; Poaceae. The record is from RNAcentral.